GACGAACGCUGGCGGCGUGCUUAACACAUGCAAGUCGAACGGAAAGGCCCUGCUUGCAGGGUGCUCGAGUGGCGAACGGGUGAGUAACACGUGGGUGAUCUGCCCCUUACUUUGGGAUAAGCCUGGGAAACUGGGUCUAAUACUGGAUAGGACCAUGCUGUAGGUGGUGUGGUGGAAAGAUUAGUUUCGGUAAGGGAUGAGCUCGCGGCCUAUCAGCUUGUUGGUGGGGUAAUGGCCUACCAAGGCGUCGACGGGUAGCCGGCCUGAGAGGGUGGACGGCCACAUUGGGACUGAGAUACGGCCCAGACUCCUACGGGAGGCAGCAGUGGGGAAUAUUGCACCAUGGGGGCAAGCCUGAUGCAGCGACGCCGCGUGGGGGAUGACGGCCUUCGGGUUGUAAACUCCUUUCAGCCAUGACGAAGCCCUUGUGGUGACGGUAGUGGUAGAAGAAGCACCGGCUAACUACGUG
This 469-nucleotide ribosomal RNA is filed under the name uncultured bacterium. RNAcentral's name for it is "partial 16S ribosomal RNA". It matches the Rfam family "Bacterial small subunit ribosomal RNA", at positions 28 to 507 of the family's 1533-position model. The record is from RNAcentral.